GAUGAACGCUGGCGGCGUGCCUAAUACAUGCGAGUCGAGCGAACGGACGAGAAGCUUGCUUCUCUAAUGUUAGCGGCGGACGGGUGAGUAACACGUGGAUAACCUACCUAUAAGACUGGGAUAACUUCGGGAAACCGUAGCUAAUACCGGAUAAUAUUUUGAACCGCAUGGUUCAAAAGUGAAAGACGGUCUUGCCGUCACUUAUAGAUGGAUCCGCGCUGCAUUAGCUAGUUGGUAAGGUAACGGCUUACCAAGGCAACGAUGCAUAGCCGACCUGAGAGGGUGAUCGGCCACACUGGAACUGAGACACGGUCCAGACUCCUACGGGAGGCAGCAGUAGGGAAUCUUCCGCAAUGGGCGAAAGCCUGACGGAGCAACGCCGCGUGAGUGAUGAAGGUCUUCGGAUCGUAAAACUCUGUUAUUAGGGAAGAACAUAUGUGUAAGUAACUGUGCACAUCUUGACGGUACCUAAUCAGAAAGCCACGGCUAACUACGUG
This 497-nucleotide ribosomal RNA is filed under the name uncultured bacterium. RNAcentral's name for it is "partial 16S ribosomal RNA". It matches the Rfam family "Bacterial small subunit ribosomal RNA", at positions 28 to 507 of the family's 1533-position model. The record is from RNAcentral.